This 492-nucleotide ribosomal RNA is filed under the name uncultured bacterium. RNAcentral's name for it is "partial 16S ribosomal RNA". It matches the Rfam family "Bacterial small subunit ribosomal RNA", at positions 29 to 507 of the family's 1533-position model. The record is from RNAcentral.
AGUGAACGCUGGCGGUAGGCCUAACACAUGCAAGUCGAACGGCAGCACAGUAAGAGCUUGCUCUUACGGGUGGCGAGUGGCGGACGGGUGAGGAAUACAUCGGAAUCUACUUUUUCGUGGGGGAUAACGUAGGGAAACUUACGCUAAUACCGCAUACGACCUACGGGUGAAAGCAGGGGAUCUUCGGACCUUGCGCGAUUGAAUGAGCCGAUGUCGGAUUAGCUAGUUGGCGGGGUAAAGGCCCACCAAGGCGACGAUCCGUAGCUGGUCUGAGAGGAUGAUCGGCGACACUGGAACUGAGACACGGUCCAGACUCCCACGGGAGGCAGCAGUGGGGAAUAUUGGACAAUGGGCGCAAGCCUGAUCCAGCCAUACCGCGUGGGUGAAGAAGGCCUUCGGGUUGUAAAGACCUUUUGUUGGGAAAGAAAAGCAGCAGGUUAAUACCCCGCUGUUCUGACGGUACCCAGAGAAUAAGCACCGGCUAACUUCGUG